Molecule: long non-coding RNA, 643 nt
Filed under: Homo sapiens (human)
Lineage: Eukaryota; Metazoa; Chordata; Mammalia; Primates; Hominidae
Description: novel transcript
Source: RNAcentral
GACAAGGGUGGUGGCCGCUCUGGAGGUGCCUGGGGGGUUCCCUCAUUACCCCUCUGGGCUUAGUCCAUCCUCCACACUGUUGUGCAGCUUCUCCACCUCCUGGUAGAGGAUAAAUACUGUUACCCUUAUCCCUGGUCACAUCCAGGGAGACGCGGUCCAGCGGCCCAGGCGGGGGACAGUGCCGUUCUAGAGGUCCUUGAGCCCCUCCUUCCUCAGGAUCUGCAGCCAUAGGCCGGUGUGUUCCGCGUUUGUGCUGCUCCAGGCCCCGCAUCCGGUCUCGAUCCCAUCCAGAGGAGCGUUUCCCAAGACACUGGCUGCGCCCACAAUGGCUCCGAAGACCCCAGCGACCAGCGGGUCCAUGGGCUUGCUGGGGUUGUCCCCUCGGUACCAGCUGUGCAGGGAGGUCAGGAGGAGAAGCAGACGGCCUGGUUCCAGCCCUGCUUUAGCGUGGGUGCCAUGAGGCCCCGACGUUUAAAGUAUUGCUGUGUGUUUCAAGUGGAGGAGGUCAUAUUACAACUGACAUUUGUCCUUGACUACUGGACAUAUCACACCAGCCCUGAUUGCAGUUAUACUUGAAGCCAGAUCUACCCUUAACGUAUAUUCAUUUUACUAUUCAAUAAAUAUUAACUUAUCAUGAAUGGUA